CGGGUAGAGUAACACGUGAGCAACCUACCUUUCAGUGGGGGACAACAUUUGGAAACGAAUGCUAAUACCGCNUAAGACCACAGUGUCGCAUGGCACAGGGGUCAAAGGAUUUAUCCGCUGAAAGAUGGACUCGCGUCCGAUUAGCUAGAUGGUGAGGUAACGGCCCACCAUGGCGACGAUCGGUAGCCGGACUGAGAGGUUGAACGGCCACAUUGGGACUGAGACACGGCCCAGACUCCUACGGGAGGCAGCAUG
Molecule: ribosomal RNA, 255 nt
Filed under: uncultured bacterium
Lineage: Bacteria
Description: partial 16S ribosomal RNA
Rfam family: Bacterial small subunit ribosomal RNA
Source: RNAcentral